GGGGAUGUUUAGGUUUCGACAGGAGUUAAUGGCAAGUGAUUGCAGUGGUCUGGUAGACCAUAAGACUACGAGGUAGAAAUAACCGGAAACAAAAACAAAUCUGUAGUACCUGCAGACAUUAAAGAAAAGUUAAGUUCAUUUAGCUUUGGUUUAAACAAAUCAGCUAACUUAGCUACUUUAACUGCUUAAAAUCAAUUUAAAUUGAGAACUACCGUUAAUUAAAUAACUGUUUAUUGUUAUUAAUUAACGUAUUACAAAUAAACUAGAAAAAGCGAUGUUAAUAAGCUUUUUUGAAACUCUAAUUAACUAGUUAAUAUUAAAUUUGUGGAAUUAAUUAAUAUUAGCGAAAAAAGUAAUUCUACUAAACUGUAGAUAUUAUUUGUUGGUUACCUUUUGGACACGGGUUCAAUUCCCGUCAUCUCCACCA
Molecule: transfer-messenger RNA, 427 nt
Filed under: Mycoplasmatales
Lineage: Bacteria; Bacillati; Mycoplasmatota; Mollicutes
Also listed under: 1 other name
Description: Spiroplasma_D platyhelix Standard tmRNA
Rfam family: transfer-messenger RNA
About the family: Bacterial tmRNA, also known as 10Sa RNA or SsrA, is named for its dual tRNA and mRNA-like properties. Its role is to liberate the mRNA from a stalled ribosome.
Source: RNAcentral